Molecule: RNase P RNA, 629 nt
Filed under: Candidatus Moranbacteria bacterium CG17_big_fil_post_rev_8_21_14_2_50_44_12
Lineage: Bacteria; Candidatus Moraniibacteriota
Description: RNase P RNA component class A
Rfam family: Bacterial RNase P class A
About the family: Ribonuclease P (RNase P) is a ubiquitous endoribonuclease, found in archaea, bacteria and eukarya as well as chloroplasts and mitochondria. Its best characterised activity is the generation of mature 5'-ends of tRNAs by cleaving the 5'-leader elements of precursor-tRNAs.
Source: RNAcentral
AGUCAAAGCUGGAUAAUCGCCUUGCCCCUCGCGAGGGGCAAGGAGGAAAGUCCGGACACCAAUAUCACAAGUAAUGGGUAACACCCAUCGGGUACGUUGAAAGAUGUAUUUAGGGAAAGUGCCGCAGAGACUAUACGGGCCAAUCAAACAUGCUCGCAUGUUUGACGGAGCUACCCCGCACCAAUUCCGAUCAUCUGCUUAUUUAUUCAAGCGCGAGAGCGAAGCGGCUCUGCCUUUCGUCUAUAGAUGUAUGAAAUUAGGUGGUUAGGAUUGGUGCGGGGUGCUCGAUUUUGUUGCUGCGCCUUCGCGCAGACAAAAUCGGCAAAAGGUGAAAAGCCGAUUGGUGUUUGAUAUUUUGCUCGCGCGAGGUAUUAAGCUGCAAUUGGAGCCGGACGGCAACGGCCGGAGCUUGGCAAACCCUGCUUGGUGCAAGUCUGCGUCCCGCCGCUUGUAAGCGGCGGGGAAGACGCUUGAGUCCGACGGCAACGUCGGGCCUAGAUAGAUGAUUAUCUCGUCCCUCACCACUUUUGCUGAUAAAAUUCGUGAGAUUUUUGAAAAAAGUCUUAACGAAAAAUCACGAAAAGUGGUGAGGGACAAGACAGAAUCCGGCUUAUAGGCCUUGACUAAUA